AAGUGACGAACAAAAAUAUUCCUACAGCAUUGUAGGAAUAGAGGUGUAUAGCAGUAGGCAAGAUUCUUUUUACUAAAAGUUAUUUCGAGCAAACAGCUUCCAAAACAUGUUUUCUAGAACUCAAAUACUAUGUUUACUUGUUGGGAAAACACCAUCAUAUGUCUCCUUUAAAUACAGGGUAACCCUCAGUAUGAAAUGCAUUUCAAUCACUUUAAUGUUUCCCGCUUUAAGUAAACGACUAGUAGCCCCUACACUGAAGGUUUUUCUAUUGAUUAAAAUCAAUGAAGAGAUUCUCUAUAUUUGAGAGAUAUAGUUGCACCGGAGUCAUGUCAUUUAUGUUCAGAGUUAGAGUCUGAAAGCUUUGCAACAAUGGAGCGGUGAGGGUUAGUUCCUUUUCUUUGCGGGACGGUGGGGGGAAGCUUGACUCCUCAAAUACUAUGUUUACUUGUUGGGAAAACACCAUAAUAUGUCUCCUUUAAAUACAGGGUAACCCUCAGUAUGAAAUGCAUUUCAAUCACUUUAAUGUUUCCCGCUUUAAGUAAACGACUAGUAGCCCCUACACUGAAGGUUUUUCUAUUGAUUAAAAUCAAUGAAGAUAAUAUAUAAUAUACAACUCAUAGAUGUAUGAUUUUAUUUGCUGUUGAAACAAGUGACGAACAAAAAUAUUCCUACAGCAUUGCAUCACAGGGCUAUACUCUUGCUUUUGGAUGCAACACUAUAACACCAUUUAUCGCUAGAGGGCAUUACAUCUUAAAUGCUUUUUUUUUUCUCAAGGCAAGCCACAAAAGAUAAGAUGCAGUCUCUAGACCACCACUCCAACUCUUUCACACUGCAGUCAGUUCCAAAAUGGGUGCAAGUCGCUUAGCCGUCUCUACCGUCUUCUUCCUUUCCCUCACACUUUCCAGUAGCCGAGCUGUGAAGAGCAGUUGCAUCCAAUGGAGAAAACCUGGUGAAUCUGUAAAAAUUAGCUGCAGUCCAACAUCAAAAGAAGAUCAUUUGUAUUUGUAUAAGUUUUGCGAGAGUUUCCCUGUUCUCCAAUGGGACCUAAAAGAUACAUUUACCAUUAAAGCUGGAUGGGAGCCAAGAGUCAAGACAGAAGUGACAGAGACCAAAGGACUAAUCAUCACAAUAGCCAACCUGACAGCAGAAGACACAGGUUACUACAACUGUCAGUACAAGGUGUUAAAAGAUUUCAAUUUGGUCGUGACGAGUGGAGCCGGCUCUGUUCUCCUGGUGGUUCAUGUUUUUGAUCAAAUAGAUGCAGUUGAAACCUUCCCCUUGAUCCUAGUAGUUGUGCUGUGCGUUGUCAUCCUGCUACUUCUCUCUGUUCUGGUGACGAUGUGGAUUCUUCGAACGGUGAAGUCCAUGCACAUUAAUGCUGUGAGGCCUGUCCAGCGAGCCCACCCCAGCGACGUCUACGAGGACAUGAGGAGCACCUGCAGGCGUUAGGCCCAUCUGCUUCCUAUCUUCCCAUCAUUGUGGAGCUCUCUAGAAUGAUUGCCUGGGGGAAAUUGAUUGAAUGUGUGCUAUGUCAUAAAUGGGUGCAAUGCCAUUAAUGAGGAGGGACCCCCCCCCCUCUUUAUUUUCUCCCUGUUACUUCUGGGGUCCAAUCAGUUUAGUGAAAAAAGUUUGAAAUAACUUGGGUGGCGCUUGGUGUCAGACCAGGCAGAUAGGGCCCUUAUAAUUAAAAAGGUUAAAAAACUGCUUAACUUCUAAUUUGCAAGAUAUCUGGGGAAGCAGAAGAACAAUGUAUACAGUACAAAUUAGUUGUUCAGAAAUGUAUUCACUGAGGUCGUUUGAUAGCCAACAUGCCUGAUGUGCACACAGUAGGUAGUGGUUUGAAAAAGCUCAGGCUGUCAAAAGGUUCUUGGUGUGAACUAAACUAGUUGAGGGUAUUCUCUUGACUAGAUUCUCUAUAUUUGAGAGAUAUAGUUGCACCGGAGUCAUGUCAUUUAUGUUCAGAGUUAGAGUCUGAAAGCUUUGCAACAAUGGAGCGGCGAGGGUUAGUUCCUUUUCUUUGCGGGACGGUGGGGGGAAGCUUGGCUCCUCUGAAUAUCUCAAAGUUUUGCACCAAAUUUGGUAGGUGGGUUAAGUCCAUGUCAAGUUAAUAACAUUUCGUGCCAAUUUCUGUACUAUGUAAUUAUUUUUCUGAUAUUGCUGAAAGGGUUGGGUCAUAUUUAGCCUGUUGUUGAAUGCAUAUGUUGUACAGAAUUGUUUAAAGAUGGAACUGAUUCAUCAAAAUAUUUGUCUUGCAUUAUGCAUACCUGCAAAUGUAUUUGAUGUACUCAUUUAAAUAAAAAAAUAAUUCCAACUGAAUCUUUUAAACACAUUGCUAACCAUAUUACCAUACUACCUAUAACUUUGACACCGUCAUUACAGUGCAACGCAAGCGUUAAUUUCUGUCUCGCUAUAAAUAACGACAAUUUUCUUUGAGCAAUUCAAAUUAAAGUCAAUAAUCAAAAAUCACACAGCACAUACACAAGCACACUGGCUGUUGGCCGCUCAGGUAAAGUUUCAUGUUGAUUAACUUUUUGAAUUCUUGUAGCCAACAUCUUCUUGGGCUGGUGUGCAAGCAUCUAAAACAUUUUCUUCAUAUUUGAUAUCUAACCAUCAAUAUAGACAACAUUGUUCAACAAGUUGUUGUAGAGUACUCUACAAUGUCAUUUCUUACAGUUCUUCUUAGGCUAUUGGAACUCAUACCUGAUGGAAGGCAGUGCUGGCACAACAAUACAAGUAUACAGGCACAGACACUCAUAGUAGACGUAAACCCUCAGAUCACUAAAAACAACCACAGUCCAUUAUCAUAAAUAACAAUUUCAUAAUUACGUAUACACAUCACAAAAGUUUGCAGUAUCCAAAUUCAGUUAAAAAAAGACCAAAUAAAUAAAUCUUUAGGAAACAGGCUCAAGUGUGCUCGGGUAUUACUUAAUACUUAUAUUUUAUAUUCCUUAAUUGAGUGUGUGUGUGUGUGUGUGUGUGUGUGUGUGUGUGUGUGUGUAUGUGUGGUGUCUUGUAGUGUUCAUGAUCUUUGGAAAUGUGCAAGAUAUGCAUCCGGUAUGUUAAGGUUUAUGACCAUAGCGCUGCACAUCGCACCCAGUAUGUUUUUGUAUGACGCAGGCUGAUGAAAGACUUCCUGUCAACAAUGACAGGAUGGAAACAAUACGGUGGUGGAGACAUAUGUGCAGGCAUGCUACUGUAUGGUGCCACUUGCACAACUCUUUUUUCUCUCUGUGACCUUUUACAUCACAGUGAGAAUAUAAGAGCCAAAGUCAUUCUAUGUUUACUACUAUAUUAAAUAGUCGGACUGAGAUGAAAUUUUACAAAUCAACUUAGUUGCAAACUAAAUACUUAUUACUUAUUAUCUUAUAUUUAAUAAAAAAGGGUUUCAAUAAUGAACAUAUGAGCAGCUAUUUCAUGAUGUUUUAAACGAAGGCAAGAUAUGCAUGAAGCGCCCCCAUGCCAUUGCUAUGGGCAUGAGUGACCAUUUAAUUAACUAACAGUUUACUGGGACGCACCUAAGUGCAAUUAAAUUAGCUGACCACACACUAUGUGUGGUAAUCUACACGAUUUAUGUUAUUUGUAUUGUAGUGUGUCAUAGUGUAUUUUAUGACAACACAUUCUCACUCCGAGCGCUUCGAUUUUUGACCCUCGGUCAGUGACUUUGGCUUCAGCUUCUGACGCAAAAGGGUACCCUUGUACUUCUUUUUUCAACUCAUUACAAUGUAAUCCCUCCAUGGCAAUAUAUGGAGCUAUGAGCAUUCAUCCCAUUGGCUAACGGGUGACCCGAUGGUUGCACAUAGAGACGCUAUGAGCAUUCAUCCCAUUGGCUAACGGAAGACCCGAUGGCUGCACAUUACAUUUACAGUGAAAUCUGUGACAUUACUCAACACAACUACACCAACGUGUCCUUGUUAAUUACACAACAUUUAUGGAUUAAGGCUAUGGACAUCAGUUGUCCUGUUUUGUGCUUUGAUUGAGAGAAACAAUAAUCUUUUGGAUCAGUGUUGGGUAUCUGAGGUCAUUGCUAUAGAGACCAAGUCCGUCCGCUUUGUUUGACAACUGACGGAGCAAUUAACCCUAUCUCAUCAAAAUUACGUUCCCAGAGAACUAUUCGGCAUUCUCAAUUGCGUUUGUCUGAAAAACGUAUUUUGUCCGUGCCACGUUUUAUUGAACAUAUCGCAAAUACGAAUUCGUUCUCAGCCUAUUUUUUGCCAUUUAUUUACCGUGUUACUAUGGCAGAAUAAAGAUUAAAUUCAUGCAUUAUCAUUCAACUUGAACAUGUGUUUUUACAGUAUAGAGUGGUGAAGGGAUGACGCAUGUUGGCCAACCCGGAAAUGAGCGUCGCCCUGGGUUCCCUUAACAACAAGCCAACGGGUUUUUCCAUUGGAUUUUGGAUGAUUGCAGAAAAUCUUGCAUUUUGGAAGCACCUCCUCAAAAACUGAAAAUAAAUAAAUAAAUAAAAUAACGGUGCUCCAAAUAUCGAAAUGUAAACCAAUGAAUUCUGAAUGGGAGUGUUUCUCUGAUUUUUCCAUGCUACACAGAAAGAAAUGUAAACCCAUGCAAAUAAAGGCUCCAAGGUCAUAAUAAUUUAAAUAUAAUUAAUCUCCUGAGUGUGUAGGCCGGUUAUGUAAUCAAUUUCAAUGGGGCUGCGUUCACGUCACCUGACUGUCAUGGUUGCUAUGGUGGUUGCUAUCGACUGCCCCCUCUAAUCCUUACAUGGCUGUAAAAACCAACCACGCGGCAAAGGAGCUGCCGUCAAUUGUGUUUUUUUUGUCGUAAACUAGGGUCCGAUGGUUAAAAAAUAG
This is a long non-coding RNA of Gadus morhua (Atlantic cod), 4805 nucleotides long. The record is from Ensembl. Lineage: Eukaryota; Metazoa; Chordata; Actinopteri; Gadiformes; Gadidae.